UCAUCUUCGGGGGUAGAGCACUGUUUCGGCUAGGGGGUCAUCCCGACUUACCAACCCGAUGCAAACUACGAAUACCGAAGAAUGUUAUCACGGGAGACACACGGCGGGUGCUAACGUCCGUCGUGAAGAGGGAAACAACCCAGACCGCCAGCUAAGGUCCCAAAGUCAUGGUUAAGUGGGAAACGAUGUGGGAAGGCACAGACAGCCAGGAUGUUGGCUUAGAAGCAGCCAUCAUUUAAAGAAAGCGUAAUAGCUCACUGGUCGAGUCGGCCUGCGCGGAAGAUGUAACGGGGCUAAACCAUGCACCGAAGCUGCGGCAGCGACACUAUGUGUUGUUGGGUAGGGGAGCGUUCUGUAAGCCUGCGAAGGUGUGCUGUGAGGCAUGCUGGAGGUAUCAGAAGUGCGAAUGCUGACAUAAGUAACGAUAAAGCGGGUGAAAAGCCCGCUCGCCGGAAGACCAAGGGUUCCUGUCCAACGUUAAUCGGGGCAGGGUGAGUCGACCCCUAAGGCGAGGCCGAAAGGCGUAGUCGAUGGGAAACAGGUUAAUAUUCCUGUACUUGGUGUUACUGCGAAGGGGGGACGGAGAAGGCUAUGUUAGCCGGGCGACGGUUGUCCCGGUUUAAGCAUGUAGGCUGGUUGUCCAGGCAAAUCCGGAUAAUCAAGGCUGAGGUGUGAUGACGAGGCACUACGGUGCUGAAGUAACAAAUGCCCUGCUU
This 716-nucleotide ribosomal RNA is filed under the name Klebsiella pneumoniae. RNAcentral describes it as "partial 23S ribosomal RNA". It matches the Rfam family "Bacterial large subunit ribosomal RNA", at positions 890 to 1607 of the family's 2925-position model. Lineage: Bacteria; Pseudomonadati; Pseudomonadota; Gammaproteobacteria; Enterobacterales; Enterobacteriaceae. The record is from RNAcentral.